This 253-nucleotide ribosomal RNA is filed under the name uncultured bacterium. RNAcentral's name for it is "partial 16S ribosomal RNA". It matches the Rfam family "Bacterial small subunit ribosomal RNA", at positions 524 to 776 of the family's 1533-position model. The record is from RNAcentral.
UACGUAGGGGGCUAGCGUUGUUCGGAAUUACUGGGCGUAAAGCGCGCGUAGGCGGUUUGUAAAGUCAGAUGUGAAAGCCCCGGGCUCAACUUGGGAACUGCAUUUGAUACUGUCAGACUAGAGUACAGAAGAGGUGACUGGAAUUCCCAGUGUAGCGGUGAAAUGCGUAGAUAUUGGGAGGAACACCAGAUGCGAAGGCGGGGCACUGGGCUGAUACUGACGCUGAAGUGCGAAAGCCAGGGGAGCAAACAGG